GCAGUCAAUCGGUCUGUCGCUUUUUCAUUUAUGAAAUGGAGGAAAGUCCGGACAACACAGAGCGCCCUGCUAUUUAACGGAUAGAUGUUUGCGAAAGCAUAGUUAAGUAGAAGAAAAUAACCGCCUGCCGCAGUGCAGGUAAGGGUGAGAAGGUAAGGUAAGAACUUACCGGUUCUUGUAGUGAUGCAGGAUACCGUACAACUCGGGGGUUGCAAGGUCAUAUAUACCGGCGCAGUAGGAUUGCUCGUCCGAUGUCGGGGGGUAGACCGCUGGAAUUUGUCGGCAACGGCAAAUCGAGAUAAAUGACAGACAUUCCGCAAGGAAUACAGAAUCCGGCUUACAGAUUGACUGCGUUU
This 356-nucleotide RNase P RNA is filed under the name Dysgonamonadaceae bacterium. RNAcentral's name for it is "RNase P RNA component class A". It matches the Rfam family "Bacterial RNase P class A". Rfam says of the family: Ribonuclease P (RNase P) is a ubiquitous endoribonuclease, found in archaea, bacteria and eukarya as well as chloroplasts and mitochondria. Its best characterised activity is the generation of mature 5'-ends of tRNAs by cleaving the 5'-leader elements of precursor-tRNAs. The record is from RNAcentral. Lineage: Bacteria; Pseudomonadati; Bacteroidota; Bacteroidia; Bacteroidales; Dysgonomonadaceae.